UACGUAGGCAGCAAGCGUUGUUCGGAGUUACUGGGCGUAAAGAGUGUGUAGGCUGUUCUCUAAGUUGGUGUGAAAUCUCCCGGCUCAACUGGGAGGGUGCGCCGAAAACUGGAGGGCCCGAGUAUGGGAGAGGAAAGCGGAAGUUCCUGGUGUAGCGGUGAAAUGCGUAGAUAUCAGGAGGAACACCAAUGGCGAAGGCAGCACUCUGGGACGUGACUGACGCUGAGACGCGAAAGCGUGGGAGCAAACAG
RNAcentral lists this ribosomal RNA (251 nucleotides) under uncultured bacterium. RNAcentral describes it as "partial 16S ribosomal RNA". It matches the Rfam family "Bacterial small subunit ribosomal RNA", at positions 524 to 775 of the family's 1533-position model. The record is from RNAcentral.